GACGAACCGUGCGAACGUUGUUCGGAAUCACUGGGCAUAAAGGGCGCGUAGGCGGCUUUUCAAGUCAGGGGUGAAAUCCGGCAGCUCAACUGUCGAAGUGCCCUUGAUACUGAGGAGCUCGAGGGAGGUAGGGGUGUGUGGAACUUCCGGUGGAGCGGUGAAAUGCGUUGAUAUCGAUAGGAACUCCGGUGGCGAAGGCGGCAUACUGGACCACUUCUGACGCUGAGGCGCGAAAGCCAGGGGAGCAAACGGG
Molecule: ribosomal RNA, 253 nt
Filed under: uncultured bacterium
Lineage: Bacteria
Description: partial 16S ribosomal RNA
Rfam family: Bacterial small subunit ribosomal RNA
Source: RNAcentral